Non-coding RNA from Pelobates cultripes (western spadefoot toad), 397 nucleotides. The record is from the annotation of a GenBank genome assembly. NCBI's taxonomy places the organism in Eukaryota, Metazoa, Chordata, Amphibia, Anura, Pelobatidae.
CUGCAGCCUGAUUUACUAUCAGUAGUAGAAGAAGGGGUGAAAGGCAGGCAGUCUAGAGUUAGUACUGGAGGAAUAACGUGUGAUGCAGGCAGGUCUAGUAUUAGCCCUAGAGGAAUAAUGUGUGAUGCAGACAUGUCUACUGUGAGCCCUAGAGGAGUAAUGUGUGAUGCAGGCAGGUCUAGUGUUAGCCCUGAAAGAAUAACGUGUGAUGCAGGCAGGUCUAGUGUUAUUCAUGAAAGAGUAACGUGUGAUGCAGGCAGGUCUAGUGUUAUUCAUGAAAGAGUAACGUGUGAUACAGGCAGAUCUAGUGUUAGCCCUGAAAGAGUAACGUGUGAUGCAGGCAAGUCUAGUCUUAGCCCUGGAAGAAUAAUGUGUGAUGCAGGUAGGUCUAGUUUUA